UCAAACCUUUGCUUCCCAUUCUUUCGCAUGGGAACGAUUCGAUCAAUCAGUGCGAGAGAGCAACAGAGAGUGGUGGAACACCUGAAUGGGCUCAUUUGAUAAAAUACAAUUUAAUGUAAUUAAAUAAAAAAAACCGCACGCCCAUAUUUUGAACGGUUGCCAUUACAAACAGUUUUGCACAUAUUCUUGCCGAAAACUUCACGAUUUGUUAAAUGCAUAUUUAAUUGUUUCACACAUAAUAAGUGGAAUACUGUAAUGAAGAUGAAAUCAAAAUGCAAUUUAAAACAUUGGCUAAAAUUGAACUGCAAUUUACGCCGGAAGAUUCCGCGUAUGGGUAAAAAAUUUAUGUGCACACACAAUUGCAUAUAUUAUUGUCAACAAACCCAAUAAAUGACAGUUGAGCCGAAAAUAUAUGCAUAAUUCGACAAUAUUACGUUAUGAAUCUGCGAUGACAUUUUUACUGACAUCACUUUUACUACACACCCAAUGCAAAUGGCGGUAAAGCUUUCCAAAUGGUUCCAAUGCAUAUGGAAAAGCUCUCGCAUCACAGAGCUUUUGAUGUAAAGCUUUCGUUUGGGUACAAUAUGAAGCUUUCAUUAGGUGUAGCGGACAAGUUCGGCACAUUUUCCGCAUGGCAUUAAAAUUGAAUUGUAUUUUACACCGGAACGUUCCGGUGUACGAUAUCGUUAAUGUGCAUGAUAAUUACACAUAUUAUCACAUACCAAGCAAGUGAAGGACGAUUGAGCCGAUUGGGUCCAAAUGUAAGCAAUGUGAUGAAAGAAAUAAACGAAUUAUAUUCCGCUGCGCUUUAAUUGUUGUCGGUAGGAAUGAAAACUUCUUUCCAGUACAUUUAAUGUUUUUAAAAUCUUAUUUUCUCGAUUCUUAUUUUUUCUUUUAUAAAAGAUUUUCUCGAUUUUUACAAAAAAAUCCUCAUUUUGUCACUUGCAUGCUUAUAACUCGGUCAGUUUCCAAUGGAUCUUCAAUUGUAAAACAGAUAUGGAUAGAUCUGCUUAUAAACUACCAAAAGUUAUUCUACGCCGAUGUGCUAAGUUGUCUGUGUCAAAUGUUAUUCGAGAUACAAAGACUUAAAAUUUUCUCGGUUUUUCAAAAAAAAAAAAUUUCUCAUUUUGCCACUUUGCAUGCUUAUAACUCGGUCAGUUUCCAAUUGAUCUUCAAUUGUAACACAGAUAUGGAUAGAUCUUCUCAUAAGCUUAUAAGCUAAAAA
Molecule: long non-coding RNA, 1225 nt
Organism: Anopheles funestus (African malaria mosquito)
Lineage: Eukaryota; Metazoa; Arthropoda; Insecta; Diptera; Culicidae
Exons: 3
Source: RefSeq, a predicted model, not a curated record